This is a non-coding RNA of Zonotrichia albicollis (white-throated sparrow), 2354 nucleotides long. The record is from RefSeq and is a predicted model, not a curated record. NCBI's taxonomy places the organism in Eukaryota, Metazoa, Chordata, Aves, Passeriformes, Passerellidae.
GGCCUGCAGGCGCUUCUCUUAAAGCCGCCCUUGUUAUCGUCCAAGGUUGCUCGCCUUAGCGUCUAGAUUGUCUUGUGCUUCUUCCCACAGAAAUUGCUCCAGGCCGUGAUUUACAGAAUGCUGUGUGUCAGCAAUUGGAAACCUGUGUGGGAUUUACUUGUGUCUGGCCUUUUAUCCUGAAUUCCUUCUGCAUUCACAUUCAGCUUCCACUAUUGCCGUUUUCAUCACCUUAUCGUUCUCUUUCUGUAUUUUCCUCAACUUUCCCUGUCUUUCUUUAUUGCAAUUUCUUUCUUCCUUAUCUCUUUAUGCUUCCCAUGCAGUCUUCUGUAAAUUAUAAAUAAAAUGUAUGGAUUUCACAUCUGAGGGUGAGGCACGCCACAUCUACAUGUUAGACAUCUACGUGGACUAGGAGACCAGACCCAGCUCUCAGCAGGAGAAACAAGCUCAUGCUGAAGGUGAUUGAUCUGAUGCUACAACAGGAAGACAAUUCUCUCACUUAUGGAGACUAUUUCUUUCCAUUGACUAUAAAGAGUGCUUUGCACCAGUAGUCCAGAAGUGGCUGUUUAAAAUUACAGAAUUAUAUGAGGUGUCCCCCCUGUGCUUGAACCUGACAUUGUGUAGAAAUGUCUUGAUGGGAAGCAGUGGAGAAACCUGUCUCCUUGUGCCCUUUUCUGGAUUUUGCAGUCAUAUGAAGAUGAGAAAGAGUGUGCACACUCUUUCUACUGUAUAAACAAACAUUAUUUCUCCACUUUUGGAAAGUAAUUGUUUUGAAACUACUGCUUUCUCUUGACCUUUCCUCUGUUACAGCCUACUUUCUCCUUACUGAUUGUGGGAAACAGAACUUCCACUGAUGGUUACAAAGCACUGAGAUAUGUUGUAAUCCCUCAGGAACCAUUCUUGGAGAGGACCAUUUCUAAUCAGGAAGAGGAAAUGCAACUGCCAGACAUAAGCGUUAUCCCUAACAGAAGAGUAAUCUUUCUGGCUGUUACGUUCCAGACCUUCUGCUUCGAGGUCAUCACCCAAAUGACCAUGCCUGAAAAUUAUCAUGUUUUCCCAGCAGCAUUGGGCCUCUUUCCCCUGAGCUCUAACUAACCCUCAUUUUGGGAGCUGAAAUGGGAUUUGGGUGGUACAUUCAAAAGUUCAGGUGUAUGGGUCCUGGUGCAACUCGGAGAGGCCAGGGGUCUGUGCAAGUGCAAAUCUUACUCUUCAGUAAUCCUGAAAAGGAAAGAAAGACUAUUUUCCUUGCAUCCUUGUUCUGUCCUCAAAUAAGAACACCAGAGGAGACCACAGAAAGCAUCAAGCCAUCCCAUGUCAUUUCUGCAACUGAAACAGAGGGGCAGCAUCAGGCAUUAUUUAGCAGCAAUGCUGGAAAGCACAUGUAAGAGGUGUGUGUAAUAGUCAGAUACUGAAUAGAUCCAGGGGCACUUUGAUAAAUUGAAAAAGGCAAGAAUUCCAUACUCAGAUAUUUUGUGGUAUUCAUGUGAACCCAGAAAACUCAUCUGUCUUUGCUAAAUAUUUGUAUGGCACAUGAUCUAGAAGGUUGGAAAGACAAAUUGAUGGCAUCAGUAUUAGCAGUCUUUUAAAAAAUGUUUCUGGGAAAGAAAAGGGAUUAAUGAACCAUCAUUUUGAAUACUCUUAAAUUUUGACUUUGUCUAGUACAGUUGUUCCAGAGCAAUUAUUUGCCCCCUGUUUUAAUUCAGCUGAGCUAAAGUAAACUCAUAUUUGAGACAGAAGAGAUGGGCAAUAUAAUUGUAUCUUUUUACAUCAGGCAUCACUCUCUAGCUAGUGUUUGGUCUCUUAUUAUCUUAAAAUUGGCAUUUUUUGUAGCAUUGUAGAAAGGAAAUGUUCAUAGUAUGAUUAUGAUAUUGAAGAUUAUAUAUGCUGAUAGCUUUGUGGAAGUUACACAUUUCAAUGUAUGGUAUAAAUGUUCUGGCAUUCAUGACUUCUCAGGUAAAAGUUUAUUCAUUACAAAGAGGAUGUGAAAGAGCAUGGUAGCAAUUUUUAAGCAUCUGUUGUGUGAAAAUUCUUACUGCAGAGAAAAUUACAGUUAUUCCCAAAAAAAGGCGUUCACAUGCAAGGUUAUUAAGAACAAGCUGGUGCUGUGUAAAUCCAUACAAAGACUUGCCAUUUAGUCAAUACUUGAACCAUCACUGUGCACACCAAACCUAUGCCAGUUGCUGCAUUAUCAGCAUCUUGAGCAAUUAAGUAAUCACUUUGUCACUGCUUGAGCUUAAAAAACUCUUCAUAAAGAUGAUUAUCAUUAUGUUGUAGAUAAACCACAUUUUUAUCCAUGUUAUGAAAAGGAAUAUUACAUAAGUAUAAAAUUGUACUAGAAUAAAUGCAUGUUGUUCCAG